Long non-coding RNA from Symphalangus syndactylus (siamang), 880 nucleotides. RefSeq lists it as uncharacterized. NCBI's taxonomy places the organism in Eukaryota, Metazoa, Chordata, Mammalia, Primates, Hylobatidae. The record is from RefSeq and is a predicted model, not a curated record.
AAUUGGGUGGAGCCAAGAUGGCCGAAUAGGAACAGCUCCGGUCUCCAGCUCCCAGCCCGAGCAACACAGAAGACUGGUGAUUUCUGCAUUUCUGUUUGAGGGAAUGAGUUACCACGAGAUCUGGUUGUUUAAAAGGAUGUAGCACCUCCCGCAUCUCUUUCUUCCUCCUGCUCCCACCAUAAAAGACGCCUGCUCCAGCUUUGCCUUCUGCCGGAGAGGAGAAGACAGACACCUGAGGGAGAAGGCCAUGUGGUGAUGGAGGCAGAGACUGAAGUGCUGCAGCUUCAAGUCAAGGAGUGCCAAGGAUUGCUGCAAACCACCAAAAGCAAGAAAGACACAAAGGAGGAUUCUAUCCUACAGAUUAGAGAGGAGAGUAUGGACCUGCUGACACCUUGAUUUUGAACUUUUAGACUCCAGAACUGUGAGAUAAUAAAUUUCCAUUGUUUUAAGCUACCCACUUUGUGGUACUUUGUUAUGCAGGCCUAGGAAACGAAUACAGAAAAAAAAGUCAUACCAUAUCUCAUCAAAUCUGAUACACCAUUGAUUGCAAGAUGCCCUGUUAUAUUAUACACCUUGAAGAGAUUUUAAAAAGCUGUCAAUUUGCUGAGAGCGGUGGCUUACACCUGUAAUCCCAGCACUUUGGGUGGCUGAGGCGGGUGGAUCAUGAGGUCAGGAGUUCGAGACCAGCCUGGCCAAUAUGGUGAAACCCCGUCUCUACCAAAAAUAUGAAAAUUGGCCAGGCAUGGUGGUGCAUGCCUGUAGUCCCAGCUACUUGGGAGCUACAGCAGAAGAAUCACUUGAACCCAGGAGGCAGAGGUUGCAGUGAGCCAAGAUCGUGCCACUGCACUCCAGCCUGGUCAACAGAGCGAGACUCUGUCUC